GAUGAACGCUGGCGGCGUGCCUAAUACAUGCAAGUCGAGCGAACAGACGAGGAGCUUGCUCCUCUGACGUUAGCGGCGGACGGGUGAGUAACACGUGGAUAACCUACCUAUAAGACUGGGAUAACUUCGGGAAACCGGAGCUAAUACCGGAUAAUAUAUUGAACCGCAUGGUUCAAUAGUGAAAGACGGUUUUGCUGUCACUUAUAGAUGGAUCCGCGCCGCAUUAGCUAGUUGGUAAGGUAACGGCUUACCAAGGCAACGAUGCGUAGCCGACCUGAGAGGGUGAUCGGCCACACUGGAACUGAGACACGGUCCAGACUCCUACGGGAGGCAGCAGUAGGGAAUCUUCCGCAAUGGGCGAAAGCCUGACGGAGCAACGCCGCGUGAGUGAUGAAGGCCUUCGGAUCGUAAAACUCUGUUAUUAGGGAAGAACAAAUGUGUAAGUAACUAUGCACGUCUUGACGGUACCGAAUCAGAAAGCAACGGCUAACUACGUG
Molecule: ribosomal RNA, 497 nt
Filed under: uncultured bacterium
Lineage: Bacteria
Description: partial 16S ribosomal RNA
Rfam family: Bacterial small subunit ribosomal RNA
Source: RNAcentral